This is a long non-coding RNA of Parus major (Great Tit), 6106 nucleotides long. RefSeq lists it as uncharacterized. The record is from RefSeq and is a predicted model, not a curated record. The transcript has 6 exons. Lineage: Eukaryota; Metazoa; Chordata; Aves; Passeriformes; Paridae.
UGUGUGUGUGUGUGUGUGUGUAUGUGAGGGAAGGGGGGGGGACACACAAGACUGAGAAGAAUAAAAAAAGAGGUGCCUGACUUCAGUAGUCAAACACCUUCCCUGCCUCACAUCCGUUUGUGGUUUGUAAAGAGAGAGAGGAGAGGAAAAAAAAAAAAAUCUCUUCCAAAAAAGCACCGGUCUGCAGAUGUCUGCGAGAGAACCCACGAACCCUCCUUCUUCUACGGCAGGGCAGAUGUCUUUUGCUGCAGAUUUUUUUUGUUUUCGUUUAUAUUCACAAGGUUUCUGUGAAGAGAGGGAUGUUUCUUAAAUCUCCAGGCAAGUGUCCUCCUUAGAGAUAUUUGACUACCAUCAUAUGAUGAAGUUUCUGAGUCUUAGCUGUAAAAUCCCUGCCCUUCCUUUUCCCUCCUGAUACCUGGUGAGAAAAAUACCAGAAAUCCUUGAUUUGUUUCCCAUCUCAAGGCCAUACCUCUGCAAUAUACUUAAACAAUAUUAGGAUUCUUCAGGUUUUGAGUUAGUGGGACAUGAAAGAUUUUUUUUUCUUGCUGUUAUUCCUGGAGUAUAAAACAUAAGGAUACAAAAUUACAUAGUUGGAAUCUCAAAAAUAAUGUAGAACUGUAGGGAAUAUAUCCCUCAUAUCAUGCUGCCUCAAUUCCAGGCAGGUUGCAGUGUGCAUCCAGGGCUCUCUCCUUGUAGGCCCUAUAGAAAUCCUGAAGAAAUUAUUAAAAUCUUUUUGUUUGACACAAAAAAGCUGCAGGGUACAAAGCAUAAGAAGCUAAAUGGAAAGAGACAGGUAGGCUGUGUGGGCUCUUUUGUCUUUCAUCCCUCUGAAUAAUAUAUCCAGCAGUAGAUGUGUAGACAUGCCAAAUGAAAUAAUAAUAUAGUUAUUUUGGAAUUAGGGAAAGCUCCAGUUCUUAAGACUGAGAACUGACAGAAAGACAAGAAACAGCAGAGGUUGUAUUAGUCUUGCAUAUAAUAUUCACUUAAAAGCACAAAGAGUUAAUCUUAUCAUCCUACACAUGGUUGCAUUUAUAAAAGAUAAAAAUCACAAACAAGUAAUGCACAGUUACUUGUUACAUAUUCUUCCCAUUACAGUUGACAGGUUCAUUAAUCAUACAGUGUAUUUUACUAUUAGAAGCUGUAAAGAAGAUCAAAUCUCUUGUAAUUUUUCUUCUUCUUUUCCGUUUGAUAAGUGUGUUGUUGCAAUGUGCAGAUAAAAUAUAAUGUCAGUCACAAACUGUCCCAAGGGAAUUGCAACUCUCCAGUUAGAAAAUUCAUCCUUAUUUGCAAUGUAAAAUUCCAAGGAAAAUGCAUCAUUUCCUUUUUAGCCUGACCAUCAGAUUGAGUAAAAUGCAUAUGCCUGGGUAUUCACAAAAGAAGCAAUCCACAAUGUACUGCCUGUGGAUAUGAGCAAUGUUUAACUAAUAGAAAUAUUGCUUACUGCAUGUUGAAAGCAUUAACUAUGAAUACCCCUAUUCAUAACAUCACAUUGAUUCAUAAUUAAAGCCCUGUGAAAAUUAUAGAGAAAGUUGACAUGUUUCACAAGCUGUUCAUGGUAAAUGUAGCAAAUUUUACAGUUUGUUGUGACUUGCCAAUAAAGAAAUCUCAGGGAGAAAGAUUAAAAAAUGAUUCUACAACACUGAAUCUUAGCAAGUGUGACUAAAACAAAUGAUGACCUAUGUAGAAGCCUUAGACCCAUAUUUUAAAAAAAAAUAAUGAAAGCUUCUAUUUUAAAAUAAGCAGUCUAAUAUGUCUAAUGAAAAACAUUUUGGUUGAUGUACAGCAGUAAAUUCUCACCUAUGUAAGAAACCGGAAAGCCUCAAGAAAUAAAAAUAACUCAACCUUCUUAGCCAAAGAAAGUGAAACCAAGGACUGCAAAGUCUUUUGAAACUGUGAAGUAAUGAUACCAUUGAUUUCAAACAACAAGCAAGCUGUGACAAACAUUGUGAGAGAUAUUCAUGUAAGAGGAAGAUGCAAGCAGUUGAAUCUACAGUAGGAAAGACAACUUAAGUACAAGAAAUGGUGAAUGAUUUUCUGUGAGAAGAAUAAAUGCAUCACAGAAAAGUUUACAGAUUUAAUAGAGGCUUUUUGCACUGCUAACGUUUUACUUCAUGUUCUGCACAGUCCUACUAUGAAAAGCUAUUGAAAGCUUCUUGGGAAAAACAUACCAUUUGCUGGUGCCAUACCUGGUUUAGAUCAACUGCAGAAAAAAAACUACUUACCAAACCUUCUUGAAAGUCAUAUGAGACUGUUUCCGCACUGUUUCCAUUCAAAGACUGCUUGACCUUUUGGGAAAAAAAACUCCACAUGCCCAGUCUAUUUCUCUCAGGAUAUUUUUCAUGUACAAUCAAAUAAAAAUUAAGUUAAACUUAGAAUGCUACUUCUUGUUUUACAUACUUUGUUUUCAUGGUUAUGUGAACAGGAAAAAUGUAAAUGCAUUUUCUAGGUUUAUUCCCUGAAUCAUUUUGAGGAACAUCUGUUGAUAGUUGUGACAUAAAGGAGUUGAAAGAUCUGUCUGAGGGACUGCACAAGUGCUGAUACCUUUGUGUAAUCAACACCUUUCAUAGCAGCACCAUCACAGUCCAGUGGGAAGAAAGAAUUAUAGUUUUGGCAAUGGACUCUAGCUUUUUAAUCUCUUUUAGUCUGUUUUGCUUUUUCAGAAAAUAUCAUAUGGGGGGAGGGGGUGAACAUUGCAUCGCUAAAAGAGACCUCUCUUGAAAUUUGAGACUUUUUUGCGUUGGCUGAAUAUUUUGUUAUUCCCAUGUUAACUUAUUGAGGUAAGGUACUUUGAACACAGCCAAGCCCAAUUAUGCUCUGUAUCAAUUACGUUUUGAAAUAUGAUUCCCAUUUUAAAGACAAGUUAUUCAUAAGGAUGAAGUUCAGUGCAAUUUCUAAUGAGAUACCCAAAACCAAAUUGUUUUCCAGUGCUAUUAUUGCUUUGAGAAGUCUACUUGCGCUUACUAGGAGUGUAAUAAUUCUUUUACUUACAAGUUUUUAAGAAUGAUAUUGCAAAGUAUCAGGAAAGGCAAACCCAGUGAAGUUUCAUUUCAGACCAAAGUGCCUGUUGGAAGGGACCCACAAGGAUCAUCAAGACAGCUCCUGGCCCUGCACAGCACCACCCCCAAGAGUCACACCAUUAAAGCACACCAGUGCUUUAGAGCACUGUCCAGAUUUUUCUUGAAUUCUGUCACACUUGGUGCUGUGACCACUUCCCUGGGGAGCCUGUUCCAGUGCCCAACCACCCUCUGGGUGAAGAACCUGUUCCUGUGACCCAACCUAAACCUCCCCUGACACAACUUCAGGCCAUUCCCUCAGGUCCUGUCACUGGCCACCACAGAUCAGUGUCUGCCUCACCUCUUCUCCUUACAAGGAUGUUGUAGGCUGUGAUGAGGACUCCCCUCAGUCUUCUCUUUUCCACGCUGAACAGACCAGGUCUUCCUCAUAUGGCUUCCCCUCAAGGCCCUUCACCAGGAAGGUUGCCUUCCUUUUGAUGCCCUUUUUGAGAAAAAAAGUUGAAGCAAAUCCACUGAUAUUUCUCUUUUUCUUGGCUGUAACAAACUUCUAGGAAAAAUAAUUCUAUUGUCUUCGUGAGAUUCAGAGGAAUCUAAGAUAAAUGUUAAACUGUAGCUUAUUUCUCUAUAUAUGAAAUAAACUAUAUAAUGAAUGUAUACAUAUGUAUUUAUAUUGGUACGUAUCCUGAGAAUAUGUGUAGCAAAUCCUCAAAUAUUUCAUGCAAAUAUAAUGAACUCUCAUUUCCAUUAAUAAACUUAAAAACAUUUGAAAGCACUACUGUGCCAUGAAAUAUUUUGACAUAAUUAAACACAAUAAAUUAAAUACAAUAAUAAGCAUUCUUUGUAUCAAUAGAUUUCACCACUCUGUUGUACUUUCUUUGGUGUUCAGUUAGCUUCUUGGAGUCUAGGGUACCACCUCAGGACAAAAUAUUUAUUGUGAAGAAUACACAGAACAUGUUAUGUCAGUUAGAAAUUAUAUACUGCAAUGAUAGCCAGAAAAAAACACCUGGUGGUGACAGGCUUUUGAGUGUCUUAAGGGAGUCUACUUGUCCCUGAAAAAUUCUGCUUGUAUUUCUCUUCUCUGAGCUAUUUAGUGUUUUCUCCACCAUGUGGUAUAAAAAGAUACUUAAUGAAACCUGGCUUACCUCUGCUGAGUUCUGCAGUCUCCUCAGGGUUGUCUACAUUGUGUGUGCUCCAGUGACUCCUUAUUUAUGAGACAGAUAAUAGGGGAACUAGAUAAUUACACUCAGUAUAUGUUUUGGGUACUUUUCUGUCCACUUAGAUUAUCUUCCCAAUAAUUACCUUGCAACUCUAAAGCCACCAUGGUUCCCCAUGUUUUUCUUAUAAAGGAAAUCAAGUUUCCACCUAUUAUCUACAUAUUUCCACUUCAUAUCUGAUCACUCUGAUAACUCUUAAUCAAGUGCAACUGCUUCUUAAACAACCCCACUCAAAUAUUUCACUUCAAUGAGAAGGGGGAACCCCUUGUAAAUACCACCAGGCACCAAAGUGCCAUCUACUAUCUACCCACAAAGAACAUAAAGUGUCAUUUCACUCAUGAAAUGUUACCUUUCAGGUAAGAGGCACUCAAGUACUUCAAACUUCAUAAGUAUCACUUAUAUCAUUAGUUUAAGAAAAAGAGAAAGAACUUGUAUGGUGGGAUAUGGAUAUUUUCUUGGUAAUCUCUGCCUCCCUCUCUCCAGUAGGGACUGAAAUAAUUUUCUGCCAAUAACGAUGACAGUAAAUUAAUGCACUAAGAAUCUGUUUUUCCUAAAACCAAGAGAUUAUCCAGAAACCCCUGCAGUUGAUUGUGCUUAGUAGAGAGAGGAGGAAAGAUAACUAAAUAUUGGAACAAACUACCAAGGAAUAUUUUAAGUACUUCCACUUCUGAAGCUUUUAUAAAUCAGAACUAGGUGUCUUUCUGAAAGGAAUGUUUUCACAAACACAAGCUUCUGAGUUCACUUUGGUCUGCUGUCAUGAGAAUGGAAUCAUGUUGUAGCAGUUGAUAUUCUCCUUGCAGAUGCUGCCACAAGAGAAAAAUAUGAAAGUAUGAAUAGCUACCCAUGCCCAAGAAGACAUCUGAAUGCCAGUCUUUAACCUUUUAUAGACUUAGCAUUGUGACUGAUGAGGCAUUCCAGUAGGCAUUCCCAAAGUUGUUUGGCUUGUACAGGGGAGUCAAAGAAUGACAGAUAAUCAAAUAGCAAAGCACAGUAAAGGGCAAAGGUAGUGAAAUUUAUUCCAGUCUUUUACUGCAAGUAUGGGACUUUUCAUAUUUCCAGCCCACCGAGGCAAAGGUUGCAGAGCUAAAAACAUCAGGACAUGAAGAUAUUAGAUCAAUUAUGAUUAUAAUAGUGAAAAUUAUCAUGAGCCCCACCUCUUUAAAGUGUUUACCUUUAAUAGAGUAAGCUAAGCGAUGCUUCCUUCAUGCUAUAUUUCAGGGUAGAACCUGUCCAGCAAAGCUUUGAAAUAUUAUUUCUACAUAUUCACAAUAUUUUUUCUCUUUGUAAUAUCACCAGCUUCAUGAAUGUCUUGUUCUCUGUUAUCUCAUGUAUUUAUGCCUUUGUAAAAUUUUUGAAAAUCUUUUCCAUGGAUCCUUGACACUGGUCCAGAAUUAACAGUUUUGAACUCUCCUCCUCCGGACUUACUCGUUUUCCUCAAAUGUUGCCUGUUGAAUUCAGUUCAAGAUGAUUGGGUAGCUUGGCAAUUGUCUUGGCUGGGGUUUUUUUUGGCUUUAUAAUCCAUGACUUUACAUGCUUAAUUGCAAAAUUCUAGCAUAUACUCCAAAUAGAAAGCUGGGCAGGAGCAGUGACACUCAGUUGCUUAGUGUGUAUUACAGCAGGAAUUGUAAGGAUUUGUAACACUGCAAAUUAUCACACUAGAAAUCAUGAGGCAUUACAAGGAGCAGGGUUACCUGAGCACUUCUACUUCCAAAUACAUUUUUUACUCAUAAGAAGUGCACAGUUCAGGCACUUGGGAAGCUCCAGCUAGAUCAGAUAUCAUAGACCACUCUGUCCAACAGAAUGUGUGUCAUGGAGUUACUUUACCUUUAAGAAAAGUUGAAGUUUCUGGGAAACUUCAACUUUUUCUUUUCUCCUGAC